This 2673-nucleotide long non-coding RNA is filed under the name Phoenix dactylifera (date palm). Its description in RNAcentral is "long non-coding RNA (PDAC_LNC007895)". The record is from RNAcentral. Lineage: Eukaryota; Viridiplantae; Streptophyta; Magnoliopsida; Arecales; Arecaceae.
UUAUAUAGAUUUAAGUACCAAUAGGCAUGGCAUGGCACAAACAUGUACCAUGCCAAUUCCUAACAGACAGCAACACUAGCAUGGUGCUGGUUACAUGCCAAUACUUGGCAUGAUAUCGAGCUAGCGUGCACCAAGCACUGACAUGGCCUGGUAUGGCACAUCAUCACAUGGUAUGUAGUGUGUGAAAGCCAGGUCAUCAUGCCACCAGUAUGCGAUAUGUCAAUCCUUCAUGCAAAUAAGAUAGAUAGACAGCAAUAUACCAAUUGAUCUCGCACCUAAUGAAGCGGUCAUAAAGUGUUUCAAGAAGAAAAUGCGCAUGGGGAAACAAUUAUGAUCUAAGAAGCCAAUGCCCAUAAAGUAUCAAUUGGCAAUCUUAAUACUCUAUCGAAUCUUAUAAAAUUGGUGAGGAAGGUUGGUGAUCUAGAUUGACACUAACGCAUGAAUAAUGAGGGAACAAAAUCAAAUAUUUGGUUUUAUAGUGUCUCGCACAGGAAUCUUGGCACCACUUCAAGUUUGCAGUUUUCAACUUUUUAAAAAUGAAAUCCAGUUUCUAUAUUUCUUUCUGAAAACUGAAAAGUUGAAACAUAUUUGGUAGUCACUUGCAUUGUGUUUGGCCUCAACAAUGGUGGUGGUACGUGCAGCUACAGAGGCAGUGACGGUGCUGAUGAUGGCGGCGGUAGAUGCCACAAAUGGAAACUGGUGGAGGUGGCGGUGGCAGCAAGGUUGGUGGUCAUGGGUGGUUUUGCUUUUCAAGAAUUCUACAAUUUCUAGAAACUGCAUAGCAUUUUUAAAAAAAUGCUAAAAAUAGAAGUAGGGUUAUCAAACAUCAUUGUUGCCUCAGUAUCUGUGUUUUUGAAAAAAGAAAAAUGACAACUGGAAACAGGAUGAUGUCAAACAGAACCUAAGCAAAGCCAAGCUCAGGAUUAGAGUCACAUGGCAACGAAAAUGUCUAGUCGAUGUUCGAGAUUGAAAAUGAUACCAACAUAAGCAAAGGAUACUUAAAAAUAUUUGAAAAAUAAAAAAGAUCCUACUAAAAGAAUGUAGGAAGACUUUAUGACGUAGAAAGCUACACAAUAAUGAAAUUUACUCUCUUUUAUUAACUAACAAUAAAUCAUAAACAAGAACAUUGGGAUUGAAAUCAGAAGUUUAAGAACUUUAUUGAAAAUAUCAUCCAAAACAAGAAUAACUGGAUUUUUAAAAGAACAUAUGGAAAAGAGACAUUCAUACAAGCAUCAAAAUGUAAUGUGGUUUGGAUUAGUUUCUAAUUAGUACUUAAUUUUUUUUCUACACGUACGGUUUCAAAUGAAAUAGUUGGGUUUUGCUUGAUCCCACUGGAACAAAUGCAAGCAACACUGAUGAUGUAAGAGGUGCUUAUAAGGUGCUCUGUGACUGCUGCAAACCUACAAGACCUACAGAAAGGCCUACCUAUCCCAAAGAAUGCUAAAUGCACAGCUACAAAGUUAGGGCUCGAAACAAAUACAUCAAAGGACAAUUUGGAUUGUACCAAGAGGAUGAAAUGGUGGAUGAUCAAUUAAGAUGGUAUAAGCAUGUGUUGCACAAAUCUAAAAUUAGAUUAGUGUUAGAGUCAUGAAUGAAGGACAAGAAAUAAUGAGUUGACAUGACUGGAAGUUGUAAGGACGGAUGUGAAGGAGAAAAUAAUAACAGCUAAAGCAGCUGUUCCUAGAGUCACCAGCCAUUCACCUCAGCCCUCUCAUGAAUGCCAUGUUUGAUUUAUGUACUCAUAACCUAUAUAUAGAAAAACUCUUUAUGCCAUAUAAUCUUCCCAAUCAUGAUCACUAAGUCCAGUGUUCAGGAACAACUAAGACAGGGACUAAGAUCUGGAAUACAUAUAGAAUGAAAAGAAUGCAUCAAAACUUUGAAAGAAGUUCAAAGUUGAGAAAUAUUUUAUAAAAAAUAUAAAUAGUAGUAGCAUUUCCAGGUAUGUUCAUAUUUCUAUAUUCAUGUGAUAAGGAGCACAGGAGGGGCAAUACAAGUAGGAUAGACAAUAGGGGUGAUUCCAUAUACAAACUAAUCUACAUGCAAUCUUUGACAAAAUAAUACAUAAGGUCAGAAAUAAUGCAAACCUAGUAUAAUGCAUAUAAGAUGUACCUAAAAGCAUGUAAAUAUAGCAACCAAAAAGCUGAUGAAAAAGAUAAUAAGCCAUGCAAAUCAAUUAGCAUUCUAACAGAAAGUGCUGAACUGGAAGCCCAAAAGAACAAGAAAGCACUUAGGAUGGCUGCUGCCUUACUCCAAUGCUGUCACACGAGUCACCGCGAUGUACAAUUAAGAUACAAUGAGUCAUCAUUGGUUCGGAAGCAACUGGGUCUUAUCAAUAGGUUAUGAUUCAAUAAUGUUUAUGGCUUGGAGGUUUAUUUCAGAUCCAAAGAGUAGUGUUUCUUGAGAAUCAGAUCAUAGAUAAGACUUUGAAUUUACAACAAAACUACUGGCCCUUCAUAAUUAUAUCCUUACCUUCCAAAAUGUAACAUAAGGGGUCUUCCUAAUGGUUAAUCUAAAGAAAUAAAAGACUGAUCAAAGCAAGAUUUUAAAUCCCGUGAGAUGAGGAUGCCCCGGUUUCUCCAUGGAACAGGACAUCCCACAGUCCUGCCUCAUCCUGGCGACAGUCCUGGUCAUGCAUCCCGAUAGAUAUUCUCCGUCUUUCUCUCAUUCCUCUUU